GGUGGAAGGUGGUCUCUGAGUUGGAAGAGAAGGCGCUGAGGCCUCCAGGAGCAGGUUUCGAAGAAAGUCAGUAUAUUCAUAUUUCAUGCCAUGACACACAAAGGAUCAGCUGACCUGGGUAGGUUGAAGUCUUGUGACUGCCUGGUAGGUUCUACUCCCCAUCUCACAAACAGAAGGUGAUAAACAGUGGCACAGAAACUGGCUCAAUUCUGCUACCAGCUAAAAUGUGUUCUAGAUCGCCGAGACUGCAUCUGCCCUGCAGGCACAGAGCCUCACCCCUCGCCACUCCGCUGCCCGUCCACACCCGCCACCAGCUCACCAUGGAUAAUGAUAUCAUCACGUUCAUCAUCAAAAAUGGCUCUGGCAUGUGCAAGGCCAGCUUGGCGGGCAACAAUGCUCUCCGAGCUGUCUUCCCCUCCAUCGUGGGGUGCCCAGGCAUUAGCGUGUGAUGGUGGGCAUGGGGCAGAAGGACUCCUAAAUGGGCGGCAAGGGCCCAGGGCUUCCUCGGCUUCCUGACCCUGAAGUACCCCAUCGAGCACAGCAACAUCACCAACUGGGAGGACAUGGAGAAGAUCUGGCAUCACACCUUCUACAAUGAGCUGCGUGUGGCUCCUGAGGAGCACCCCGUACUGAUGACUGAGGACCCCUGAACCCCAAAGCCAACCUUGAAAAGUUGGACCAUGUUUGAGACCUUCAACACCCCAGCCAUGUAUGUGGCCAUCCAGGCUGUGCUGUCCUUGUACGCCUCUGGCCAUGCCACUGGCAUCCUGAUGGAUUCCGGUGACAGGGUCACCCACACUGUGCCCAUCCAUGAAGGGUAGGCCCUCCCCCAUGCCAACCUACAUUUGCACCUGGCUGGCUGGGACCUGACUGACUACCUCAUGAAUAUCCUCACGGAGCGUGGCUACAGCUUCACCUACAUGGCCAACUGGGAAAUUGUGCAUGACAUCAAGGAGAAGCUGGGCUGUGUCGCCCUGGACUUUUGAGCAGGAGAUGACGAUGGCAGCCUCCAGCUCCUCCCUGGAGAAGAGCUAGGAGCUGCCCGGCAGCCAGGUCAUCACCAUCAGCAACGAGCGGCUCCACUGCCCCGAGGCACUCUUCCAGCCUUCCUUCCUGGGUGUGGAAUCCUGUGGCAUGCAUGAAACUACCUUCAACUCCACCAGGAAGUGUGAUGUGGACAUCCACAAAGACCUGUAUGCCAACACAGUACUGUCUAGCGGUGGCACCACCAUGUGCCCUGGCAUUGCCGACAGGAUGCAGAAGGAGAUCACCACCCCUGCGCCCAGCACGAUGAAGAUCAAGAUCAUUGCUCCUCUGAAGCACAAGUACUCCAUGUGGAUCGGCGGCUCCAUCCUGGCCUCGGUGUGCACCUUCCACCAGAUGUGGAUCAGCAAGCAGGAGUAUGACUAGUCCAGUCCCUCCAUUGUCCACCGCAAACGCCUCUAGGCAGAUGUGACUUACUUGCGUUACACCCUUUCCUGACAAACUGGAGCGGAAAACAAGAUGAGAUUGGCACAGCUUUGGUUUUUUUUGGGGGGGGGGGUGGGUUUUUUUUUUUUUUUUUUUUUUUUUUUUUUUUUUUUUUUUUUUUUUUUUUUUUUUUUUUUUUUUUUUUUUUUUUUUUGGCUUGACUCAGGAUUUAAAAACUGGAACGGUGAAGGUGACAGCAGUCGGUUGGAGCGAGCAUCCCCCAAAGUUCUACAAUGUGGCCAAGGACUUUGAUUGUACAUUGUUCUUUUUUUUAAUGAUCAUUC
This is an RNA transcript of Cebus imitator (Panamanian white-faced capuchin), 1754 nucleotides long. It is a transcript of the gene named actin, cytoplasmic 1-like, with no coding region annotated. The transcript has a single exon. NCBI's taxonomy places the organism in Eukaryota, Metazoa, Chordata, Mammalia, Primates, Cebidae. The record is from RefSeq and is a predicted model, not a curated record.